AAAUUUCAUAUUUGUAAAUGAAAGAAUUUAUUAAAAGUUGAUUUUACAUGAAUAGUGGAUUUGGCAAAAUAUCUACAUAAAUUUGUUAUAAAAUUUACCUCUGGCUGGUGAACUUGGAUAUCUAAGGCCAAUCUAAUGAAAAAAAUACUUGAUGUUGACAGCCAAUGUCAAAAUUUGAAAUUUUACUAUCAGCAAAAGCUAAUUUUGAUAUUUAAACAUGCAAUUAUACAAAUAUUUUGAAAAAUUGCUCAUCAUAAUAUACAAAAUAGUUUAUAUUAUUCUAGUAUGGCCUCUAGUAAAGACUAGCGGAGUGAAACUAGAAAAUUGAGAUUCCCAAACUAUGAAUUAUAUAAAUUUGUGGCCGAUUUUACAAAUUACGAGAAAUUUCAUCAGUUCUGUACAAAAUCAUCUUACUAAACACGAUCAACCUGCGAGUACUAAACAAAAUCGGAAAUAGAAUUUCAUUAAAAGCAAAUUUCAGUAGCAGAUUAAUCCAAAUGCAUUAUGGUUUAUUUAAAAAAUUAUUUAUUUGUGAAGAUUCUGAAACCUCUUUUACAAACUAACACAUUCUACAAUAUCAUCAUCUUUUCACAAUCAAACUAGUAAAACACAAAAAAAUAAAAUAUUUUUGCUGUA
This is a long non-coding RNA of Diorhabda carinulata, 636 nucleotides long. RefSeq lists it as uncharacterized. Lineage: Eukaryota; Metazoa; Arthropoda; Insecta; Coleoptera; Chrysomelidae. The record is from RefSeq and is a predicted model, not a curated record. The transcript is spliced from 2 exons.